GGUAUUUUGACUAUACGAAGGUAUUGAAAUAAGAUUUUAAAUGAGUGCUAAGAGAAUGAUUAAACAAUUAAAAGCUUUCUUUAAUUGAAUAAUUGAAUUUAAUUUUUUAGUGCAAAAGCAAAAAUAAAAAUUAGGGACAAGAAGACCCUAUGAAUUUUUUAUUAAAUUUUAUAAAACUUUAUAUAAAAUUUAAUUUAAUUGGGGUGAUGGAAAAAGAAUAAAUAUCUUUUUUUUAAAAAAAAAUUGGUUCCGUUUUUAGCGAUUAAAUGAAAAAAAUACUCUAGGGAUAACAGCGUAAUAAUUUUGGAUAGUUCAUAUAGAUAAAAUAGUUUGCGACCUCGAUGUUGGAUUAGGAUUCUUUUUUGGUGAAGAAGU
Molecule: ribosomal RNA, 375 nt
Filed under: Ixodes ricinus (castor bean tick)
Lineage: Eukaryota; Metazoa; Arthropoda; Arachnida; Ixodida; Ixodidae
Description: partial large subunit ribosomal RNA
Source: RNAcentral